GAUGAACGCUGGCGGCGUGCCUAAUACAUGCAAGUCGAGCGAACAGAUGAGGAGCUUGCUCCUCUGACGUUAGCGGCGGACGGGUGAGUAACACGUGGAUAACCUACCUAUAAGACUGGGAUAACUUCGGGAAACCGGAGCUAAUACCGGAUAAUAUAUUGAACCGCAUGGUUCAAUAGUGAAAGACGGUUUUGCUGUCACUUAUAGAUGGAUCCGCGCCGCAUUAGCUAGUUGGUAGGGUAACGGCUUACCAAGGCAACGAUGCGUAGCCGACCUGAGAGGGUGAUCGGCCACACUGGAACGGAGACACGGUCCAGACUCCUACGGGAGGCAGCAGUGGGGAAUUUUGGACAAUGGGCGAAAGCCUGAUGCAGCCACGCCGCGUGGGUGAAGAAGGUCUUCGGAUUGUAAAGCUCUUUAAUUGGGGAGGAAAAAAAGUAAAGUAAAAUAUGCCGGUUUUGACGGUACCAAAAGAAAAAGCAACGGCUAACUUCGUG
Molecule: ribosomal RNA, 497 nt
Filed under: uncultured bacterium
Lineage: Bacteria
Description: partial 16S ribosomal RNA
Rfam family: Bacterial small subunit ribosomal RNA
Source: RNAcentral